GCCCAGCCCCAAGACUAAUGGUGUACAACUAAUUGAUCACAGCCAGCUACAGACUUCUUUGUUCCUUCUCCCUUCCCACUGCUUUACUUAACUAGUCUUUA
RNAcentral lists this non-coding RNA (101 nucleotides) under Prolemur simus (greater bamboo lemur). Lineage: Eukaryota; Metazoa; Chordata; Mammalia; Primates; Lemuridae. The record is from RNAcentral.